RNAcentral lists this ribosomal RNA (680 nucleotides) under Lepidium aucheri. RNAcentral's name for it is "eukaryotic LSU rRNA". The stretch from base 286 to 441 matches the Rfam family "5.8S ribosomal RNA". The record is from RNAcentral. Lineage: Eukaryota; Viridiplantae; Streptophyta; Magnoliopsida; Brassicales; Brassicaceae.
ACCGGGUUUCAGUAGGUGAACCUGCGGAAGGAUCAUUGUCGAUACCUGUCCAAAACAGAACGACCCGUGAACCAACUAUCAUCACUUGCGGUGGGCCGGUUUCUUAGCUGAUGCCCGCCGAAUCCUUGGUUUCGCGUGCCGUUCCGAACGGUCGUGCGCGUAGCUGAUGGAUAUCACAACAUCACGGCACGAAAAGUGUCAAGGAACAUGCAACCGAACAGCCAGCGUUCGCCUUCCGGAGACGGUGCGUGUGCGAAUGCUGUGCUGUGUUCUAAAGUCUAAAACGACUCUCGGCAACGGAUAUCUCGGCUCUCGCAUCGAUGAAGAACGUAGCGAAAUGCGAUACUUGGUGUGAAUUGCAGAAUCCCGUGAACCAUCGAGUCUUUGAACGCAAGUUGCGCCCCAAGCCUUCUGGCCGAGGGCACGUCUGCCUGGGCGUCACAAAUCGUCGUCCCCCACACAAAAUUUUGCGAGUGUUGGACGGAAUCUGGUCUCCCGUGUGUUACCGCACGCGGUUGACCAAAAUACGAGCUAAGGAUGCUGGGAGCGUCCCGACAUGCGGUGGUGAUCUAAAGCCUCUUCAUAUCGCCGGUCGCUCCUGUCCAUAAGCUCUCGUUGACCCAUUUCCUCAAAGCGACCCCAGGUCAGGCGGGAUCACCCGCUGAGUUUAAGCAUUAAAU